CAGCGACGCCGCGUGAGGGAUGACGGCCUUCGGGUUGUAAACCUCUUUCAGCAGGGACGAAGCGUAAGUGACGGUACCUGCAGAAGAAGCGCCGGCCAACUACGUGCCAGCAGCCGCGGUAAGACGUAGGGCGCGAGCGUUGUCCGGAUUUAUUGGGCGUAAAGAGCUCGUAGGCGGCUUGUCGCGUCGACUGUGAAAUCCCGCAGCUCAACUGCGGGCUUGCAGCCGAUACGGGCAGGCUAGAGUUCGGUAGGGGAGACUGGAAUUCCUGGUGUAGCGGUGAAAUGCGCAGAUAUCAGGAGGAACACCGGUGGCGAAGGCGGGUCUCUGGGCCGAUACUGACGCUGAGGAGCGAAAGCGUGGGGAGCGAACAGGAUUAGAUACCCUGGUAGUCCACGCUGUAAACGUUGGGCGCUAGGUGUGGGGGGCCUCUCCGGUUCUCUGUGCCGCAGCUAACGCAUUAAGCGCCCCGCCUGGGGAGUACGGCCGCAAGGCUA
Molecule: ribosomal RNA, 497 nt
Filed under: uncultured Actinomycetes bacterium
Lineage: Bacteria; Bacillati; Actinomycetota; Actinomycetes
Description: bacterial SSU rRNA
Rfam family: Bacterial small subunit ribosomal RNA
Source: RNAcentral